AAAUAAUAUCGAUUCAAUUAGCAUUAUUCUAUAUGUAAGUACUCCUUCACCUUUCUAGCUUCCUCUUCUUUAGUUGAAUAUUCUGAUCUUAGCUAAAGAUUAUGAGCUAGAAAAAGGUCUCCCCGGUUAUACUUUUCUUCUACUAUUCUCUACACUAUUUUUUGUCUUGGCCACUAAUAUAGUAUCCUGCACUUGUCAGUAAUUUUUGGGGCGGUAAACUUCAUAUAAAGAGAUUACACAUCAAACAACAACCAUUAGUAACGGGUUUGAAAGAUCCAUCAAUAAAUAAAGAGUUUGUUACAGCAAACUCGUAAAGCCUCCCGGUGCACUAUUCUUAGUCGAUAAGUUACAGAAGAUCUACACAAAAAAAACGACAUGUCAAUCUAUGAAAAUUAAUAACUAACAAUAUCCUUAAAUUUUGAAUCCUUUUAAACUCAAAAUAGAAGGCGAAUGGGAGAAUAAGCAUCUUAGGGUGCAAAAAAUGGACGGAAACAGCAAAGGCUGAUCAACCCUAAGAGCAAAGACUUGCAUUGGCGGGACCUAAUUCCAAUAAUCAAUCAGGCUGAUUCACCAAAGAGAAAUGUUGUUAAGAGCCCUAUGAAUUGUGGAUCAAUGGUCAAGUAUUAAUAAAAGGAGUUCAAAAUCUAUUUGAAUCAUUAGAAAAGGUCCACACAAUGGACUUUCACCUACCACCUAACAACCAACAAUAUCUUUAAAUUUUGAAUCUUUUUAAACUCAAAAUAGAAGGCGAAUGGGAGAAUAAGCAUCUUAGGGUGCAAAAAAUGGACGAAAACAGCAAAGGCUGAUUGACCCAAAGAGCAAAGAUAUGCAUUGGCGGGACUUAAUUCCAAUAACCAAUCAGGCUAAUCCACCAAAGAAAAAUGUUGUUAAGAGCCUCGGAUCAAUGGUCAAGUCUUAAUAAAAGAAGUUCAAAAUCUAUUUGAAUUAUUAGAAAAGGUCCACAUAAUGGACUUUCACCUAUCGACCAUUCCAAAGAUAGGCUUAAUGACUGCUCAAAUAAAAUGUUUAUUUUGCUAACAGAAGAAAAGUUAACACCAUUGGUGAUGCAAGAAUAAGCAGUAGAGGUUACUGUUAAGAAAACAAAUCUCAAGUGGGGAGUACCCUUUUUCUGUCACUGAAAGAUGUUAGUCCAUGUAUAUUAAAAGCGUAUUAGUUCAUUAUCAAAAAUCCAACUAGAAAUGGGGGAAAAGAGAGGGAAACAAUCAACAGAAGUAGAAAUGCUUGCAAAUGGAAAAGGGAUAGGAAUGCAAACAGUUCCGUGAUAGAAAAGUAUGUUGUGAGGAUGUCUCGGUUGCACAAACCAUGCUUCUAAACUCAAACUCCUCCCAAUAAUAUAUAAUCAGCUUUUG
Molecule: long non-coding RNA, 1370 nt
Filed under: Capsicum annuum
Lineage: Eukaryota; Viridiplantae; Streptophyta; Magnoliopsida; Solanales; Solanaceae
Description: long non-coding RNA (CANN_LNC020689)
Source: RNAcentral